UGACACUAUUAUCUAUUAUUACAGUCAUACAUGUGCCAGCGGCUGACCAGGAGGCCCUUGACUCGGAUGUGCACAAUGAUUCACCAGUCAAGAAAUUCAAGACAGAUCAUAGAGAUAGACCCAGUACAUCCGUCCAAGUUAUAAAACGAAUUGUGAUGGGCAUAUGUAGACCGCAAGACAAAAUCG
This is a long non-coding RNA of Haliotis rufescens (red abalone), 186 nucleotides long. RefSeq lists it as uncharacterized. The transcript has 3 exons. The record is from RefSeq and is a predicted model, not a curated record. Lineage: Eukaryota; Metazoa; Mollusca; Gastropoda; Lepetellida; Haliotidae.